Molecule: ribosomal RNA, 483 nt
Filed under: uncultured bacterium
Lineage: Bacteria
Description: partial 16S ribosomal RNA
Rfam family: Bacterial small subunit ribosomal RNA
Source: RNAcentral
GACGAACGCUGGCGGCGUGCUUAACACAUGCAAGUCGAACGCUGAAGCUCAGCUUUUGUUGGGUGGAUGAGUGGCGAACGGGUGAGUAACACGUGAGUAACCUGCCUCCUUCUUUGGGAUAACGCCCGGAAACGGGUGCUAAUACUGGAUAUUCACUGGUCUUCGCAUGGGGGUUGGUGGAAAGGGUUUUUCUGGUGGGGGAUGGGCUCGCGGCCUAUCAGCUUGUUGGUGGGGUGAUGGCCUACCAAGGCUUUGACGGGUAGCCGGCCUGAGAGGGUGACCGGUCACAUUGGGACUGAGAUACGGCCCAGACUACUACGGGAGGCAGCAGUGGGGAAUAUUGCAAAAUGGGCGCAAGCAUGAUGCAGCGACGCCGCGUGAGGGAUGGAGGCCUUCGGGUUGGGAACCUCUUUCGCUAAUGGUCAAGCCGCAACAAUGGUUGUGGUGAGGGUAGUGGGUAAAGAAGCGCCGGCUAACUACGUG